AUGCAAGUCGAGGGGUAACAGGGAGCUUGCUUCGCUGACGACCGGCGCACGGGUGCGUAACGCGUAUAGAACCUACCUUUUACAGGGGAAUAGCCUUUAGAAAUGAAGAUUAAUGCCCCAUAGUAUUGUAGACUGGCAUCAGUUUACAAUUAAAGAUUUAUCGGUAAAAGAUGGCUAUGCGUCCUAUUAGUUAGUUGGUAAGGUAACGGCUUACCAAGACAUCGAUAGGUAGGGGUCCUGAGAGGGAGAUCCCCCCACACUGGUACUGAGACACGGACCAGACUCC
This 286-nucleotide ribosomal RNA is filed under the name unidentified marine bacterioplankton. RNAcentral's name for it is "partial 16S ribosomal RNA". It matches the Rfam family "Bacterial small subunit ribosomal RNA", at positions 55 to 339 of the family's 1533-position model. The record is from RNAcentral. RNAcentral also lists the same sequence under 1 other name.